RNAcentral lists this ribosomal RNA (255 nucleotides) under uncultured bacterium. RNAcentral describes it as "partial 16S ribosomal RNA". It matches the Rfam family "Bacterial small subunit ribosomal RNA", at positions 244 to 493 of the family's 1533-position model. The record is from RNAcentral.
GCUAGUUGGUGAGGUAAUGGCUCACCAAGGCGACGAUCCGUAACUGGUCUGAGAGGAUGAUCCAGUCACACUGGAACUGAGACACGGUCCAGACUCCUACGGGAGGCAGCAGUGGGGAAUAUUGGACAAUGGGCGAAAGCCUGAUCCAGCCAUGCCGCGUGUGUGAAGAAGGUCUUCGGAUUGUAAAGCACUUUAAGUUGGGAGGAAGGGCAGUUACCUAAUACGUGAUUGUUAGACGUACCGACAGAAAAGCCC